GACGAACGCUGGCGGCGUGCUUAACACAUGCAAGUCGAACGGAAAGGCCCUGCUUUUGUGGGGUGCUCGAGUGGCGAACGGGUGAGUAACACGUGAGUAACCUGCCCUUGACUUUGGGAUAACUUCAGGAAACUGGGGCUAAUACCGGAUAGGAGCUCCUGCUGCAUGGUGGGGGUUGGAAAGUUUCGGCUGUUGGGGAUGGACUGGCGGCUUAUCAGCUUGUUGGUGGGGUAGUGGCUUACCAAGGCUUUGACGGGUAGCCGGCCUGGGAGGGUGACCGGGCACAUUGGGACUAAGGUACGGCCCAGACUCCAACGGGAGGCAACAGUGGGGAAUAUUGCACAAUGGGCGGAAGCCUGAUGCAGCGACGCCGCGUGCGGAAUGACGGCCUUCGGGUUAUGAACCGCUUUCGCCUGUGACGAAGCGUGAUUGACGGUAAUGAGUAAAGAAGCACCGGCUAACUACGUG
This 468-nucleotide ribosomal RNA is filed under the name uncultured bacterium. RNAcentral's name for it is "partial 16S ribosomal RNA". It matches the Rfam family "Bacterial small subunit ribosomal RNA", at positions 28 to 507 of the family's 1533-position model. The record is from RNAcentral.